RNAcentral lists this ribosomal RNA (845 nucleotides) under uncultured bacterium. RNAcentral describes it as "bacterial SSU rRNA". It matches the Rfam family "Bacterial small subunit ribosomal RNA", at positions 8 to 809 of the family's 1533-position model. The record is from RNAcentral.
AGAGUUUGAUCCUGGCUCAGGAUGAACGCCGGCGGUGUGCCUAAUACAUGCAAGUCGUACGCACUGGCCCAACUGAUUGAUGGUGCUUGCACCUGAUUGACGUUGGAUCACCAGUGAGUGGCGGACGGGUGAGUAACACGUAGGUAACCUGCCCCGGAGCGGGGGAUAACAUUUGGAAACAGAUGCUAAUACCGCAUAACAACAAAAGCCACAUGGCUUUUGUUUGAAAGAUGGCUUUGGCUAUCACUCUGGGAUGGACCUGCGGUGCAUUAGCUAGUUGGUAAGGUAACGGCUUACCAAGGCGAUGAUGCAUAGCCGAGUUGAGAGACUGAUCGGCCACAAUGGAACUGAGACACGGUCCAUACUCCUACGGGAGGCAGCAGUAGGGAAUCUUCCACAAUGGGCGCAAGCCUGAUGGAGCAACACCGCGUGAGUGAAGAAGGGUUUCGGCUCGUAAAGCUCUGUUGUUGGAGAAGAACGUGCGUGAGAGUAACUGUUUACGCAGUGACGGUAUCCAACCAGAAAGUCACGGCUAACUACGUGCCAGCAGCCGCGGUAAUACGUAGGUGGCAAGCGUUAUCCGGAUUUAUUGGGCGUAAAGCGAGCGCAGGCGGUUGCUUAGGUCUGAUGUGAAAGCCUUCGGCUUAACCGAAGAAUUGCAUCAGAAACUGUUGAACUUGAGGGCAGAAGAGGAGAGUGGAACUCCAUGUGUAGCGGUGGAAUGCGUAGAUAUAUGGGAGAACCCCAGUGGCGAAGGCGGCUCUCUGGUCUGCAACUGACGCUGAGGCUCGAAAGCAUGGGGAGCGAACAAGAUUAGAUACCCUGGUAGUCCAUGCCGUAAACGA